This 498-nucleotide ribosomal RNA is filed under the name uncultured bacterium. RNAcentral's name for it is "partial 16S ribosomal RNA". It matches the Rfam family "Bacterial small subunit ribosomal RNA", at positions 899 to 1397 of the family's 1533-position model. The record is from RNAcentral.
ACUCAAAUGAAUUGACGGGGGCCCGCACAAGCGGUGGAUCAUGUGGUUUAAUUCGAAGCAACGCGAAGAACCUUACCUGGGUUUGACAUCCUCUGAAGUUAGUAGAGAUAUUAAUGGCUCGCAAGAGACAGAGAGACAGGUGCUGCAUGGCUGUCGUCAGCUCGUGUUGUGAAAUGUUGGGUUAAGUCCCGCAACGAGCGCAACCCCUGUGCUUGGUUGCCAUCAUUUAAGGUGGGCACUCCAAGCAGACUGCCGUCGUCAAGACGGAGGAAGGUGGGGAUGACGUCAAGUCCUCAUGGCCUUUAUAUCCAGGGCGACACACGUGAUACAAUGGUAGGUACAAAGGGUAGCCAAGUGGUGACACGGAGCCAAUCCCAAAAAACCUAUCUCAGUUCGGAUUGGAGUCUGCAACUCGACUCCAUGAAGUUGGAAUCGCUAGUAAUCGCGGAUCAGAACGCCGCGGUGAAUACGUUCCCGGGCCUUGCACACACCGCCCGU